Chaetomidium leptoderma is the source of this 88-nucleotide non-coding RNA. Lineage: Eukaryota; Fungi; Ascomycota; Sordariomycetes; Sordariales; Chaetomiaceae. The record is from the annotation of a GenBank genome assembly.
GGGCAUAUGGUCUAGUGGUAUGAUUUCUGUUUUGCACGAAAAAUUGGGCUAAUACAGACGGUCCCGCGUUCAAUCCGCGGUAUGUCCA